GGCUGUGGAUGGUGAGUUCAGGAUCCUGAGGGCACCAGGGAGGGUGGAAAGCUCCAGCCUGGACCUCUGCAGGGGUGACACAGCCCUGGGGCCCAGGUGGCCCUGCCUGAGCAGGGACUGGGACAGAGCCCCCCCAAAGUCCCCUCCAGCCUCAGCCAUUCUGUGACUCUGCGGUGUCACAACUGUAACUAAACCAAAAUCCUUGCUCCUGGUGUGUUUUUAUAUUUUUUUUUUCUGUGCUCUUAAAACACAUUUACCACCCAUCACAUCUCGUUUAACUUUCCUUUUAUUGUUGGUUUGUUUUUUUGGUUUUUUUUGGUUUUUUUUUUUUGGUGUUUUUCUACUUUUAUUUGGAACUCAAUGUUACGAGUCACUUGUAAUAAUUUUACUGCUGUAAUAGUCAGAUCUGUGAAACAGAAUAAAAGUCUUGUAAAAUAAAAA
Long non-coding RNA from Melozone crissalis (California towhee), 441 nucleotides. RefSeq lists it as uncharacterized. Lineage: Eukaryota; Metazoa; Chordata; Aves; Passeriformes; Passerellidae. The record is from RefSeq and is a predicted model, not a curated record. The transcript has 2 exons.